This 148-nucleotide signal recognition particle RNA is filed under the name Homo sapiens (human). RNAcentral describes it as "Metazoan signal recognition particle RNA". It matches the Rfam family "Metazoan signal recognition particle RNA". Rfam says of the family: The signal recognition particle (SRP) is a universally conserved ribonucleoprotein. It is involved in the co-translational targeting of proteins to membranes. Lineage: Eukaryota; Metazoa; Chordata; Mammalia; Primates; Hominidae. The record is from Rfam by way of RNAcentral.
GCCAGGCAUGGUAGCGCACGCCUGUAAUCCCAGCUACUCAGGAGGCUGAGGCAUGAGAAUUGCUUGAACCCAGGAGGCAGAGGUUGCAGUGAGCUGAGAUCAUGCCACUGCACUCUAGCCUGGGCAACAAAGCAAGAUCCUGUCUCAA